AUUAGGAUAAGUUUAAAAAAUGUCAUCAAAGAACCUGAGUUAGAUCAAUGGAAUCUGUAUUUAGGGAACUGGGGUUACAACACUCAGAAAGAGAGAGAAGAAGCUGCGGCUAUCCCCAGAAUUCAAGUUCUUGAGCUGUCGGACUUCAGUAAGAAGUUGAAAUGAUUGUUUGUUGCCUUCAUUGAAUUUUCACUUUUUCAGGCGUCAGCAUUGAACUGAACAUUUUGUUACCAUCUCAUUUAUAAAGAAAGUCAGUUUGUUGUGACCACAAUCUUUUUAUUUAAAAUGGCUGCUGUAACUGUAUCCUCUAAUGUUAUAUAGAGAAAUGUUUUUUCAGUACA
Non-coding RNA from Arachis ipaensis, 341 nucleotides. NCBI's taxonomy places the organism in Eukaryota, Viridiplantae, Streptophyta, Magnoliopsida, Fabales, Fabaceae. The record is from RefSeq and is a predicted model, not a curated record.